AGUGAACGCUGGCGGUAGGCCUAACACAUGCAAGUCGAACGGCCGCACAGUAAGAGCUUGCUCUUACGGGUGGCGAGUGGCGGACGGGUGAGGCAUACAUCGGAAUCUACUUUUUCGUGGGGGAUAACGUAGGGAAACUUACGCUAAUACCGCAUACGACCUACGGGUGAAAGCAGGGGAUCUUCGGACCUUGCGCGAUUGAAUGAGCCGAUGUCGGAUUAGCUAGUUGGCGGGGUAAAGGCCCACCAAGGCGACGAUCCGUAGCUGGUCUGAGAGGAUGAUCAGCCACACUGGAACUGAGACACGGUCCAGACUCCUACGGGAGGCAGCAGUGGGGAAUAUUGGACAAUGGGCGCAAGCCUGAUCCAGCCAUACCGCGUGAGUGAAGAAGGCCUUCGGGUUGUAAAGCCCUUUUGUUGGGAAAGAAAAGCAGCAGGUUAAUACCCCGCUGUUCUGACGGUACCCAAAGAAUAAGCACCGGCUAACUUCGUG
Molecule: ribosomal RNA, 492 nt
Filed under: uncultured bacterium
Lineage: Bacteria
Description: partial 16S ribosomal RNA
Rfam family: Bacterial small subunit ribosomal RNA
Source: RNAcentral